RNAcentral lists this ribosomal RNA (463 nucleotides) under marine bacterium SIMO-IS218. RNAcentral's name for it is "bacterial SSU rRNA". It matches the Rfam family "Bacterial small subunit ribosomal RNA", at positions 36 to 545 of the family's 1533-position model. The record is from RNAcentral. Lineage: Bacteria; Pseudomonadati; Pseudomonadota; Alphaproteobacteria.
CUGGCGGCUGCCUAACACAUGCAAGUCGAACGAACCCUUCGGGGUUAGUGGCGCACGGGUGCGUAACGCGUGGGAACCUGCCUUUAGGUUCGGAAUAACUCAGAGAAAUUUGAGCUAAUACCGGAUGAUGUCUUCGGACCAAAGAUUUAUCGCCUUUAGAUGGGCCCGCGUUAGAUUAGAUAGUUGGUGGGGUAAUGGCCUACCAAGUCGACGAUCUAUAGCUGGUCUGAGAGGAUGAUCAGCCACACUGGGACUGAGACACGGCCCAGACUCCUACGGGAGGCAGCAGUGGGGAAUAUUGGACAAUGGGCGAAAGCCUGAUCCAGCAAUGCCGCGUGAGUGAUGAAGGCCUUAGGGUUGUAAAGCUCUUUUACCAGGGAUGAUAAUGACAGUACCCUGGAGAAUAAGCUCCGGCUAACUCCGUGCCAGCAGCCGCGGUAAUACGGANGGAGCUAGCGUUGUU